Molecule: unclassified non-coding RNA, 892 nt
Filed under: Zea mays
Lineage: Eukaryota; Viridiplantae; Streptophyta; Magnoliopsida; Poales; Poaceae
Description: misc RNA Zm00001eb365720
Source: RNAcentral
GCGCGCGAGACCCAACUACUGCAUGAUGCGCAUUAGGAACAAGCACACGCGGUAGCGAACACGGUCAACGAGCCUAACGACACAGGGCCAAACGACGAACGUAUUUGACGAGGUCGACGACGCAACGGGAAUUAAGACCAAACGAAGAAAAUUCGGGCGCGCGACAGAGACGAAGACCGAGCGCGGUAGGGAGAACCGCCACGAGCUGGAACAAUCAGAGAGCCAGCGAGCUGCUCGGCAUGGGAAAUCAAGGGCGCGCGCGGCACCGGAGAGAGGAACGCGUGUCGGCGAGCAGAGCAGACGCGCGACUGGGCUGGGCGAAACUUGAAGGAUGGUCGAGCUGGGCGAGCUGAGGAAGAAGAAGCGCGCGCACGGAGCCAAGCUCGACAGGACGCGGCGACUAGGAACUCUAGCCAGGCGAGCUCGAGCAGAGGGCCAGAGGCGCGCAGGCUGGGAACACGGCUAGGCGUACAUCGCGGGGAAGAUGAGUAGAGGAAAGGAGAGAUCCGUGCGCAGGGAAGCUUCAGGGAGGAACUUGACGGCGGCCAUGGCAGAGAAGGAGUUCGACGAAAAUGAGCGCACCAGCCAUGGUGAGCAGAGGCUGCGCGCGAUGGGAUUUUAUCCCCGAGCUAAAGCAGCACGGCGUGGGAGAAGAAGGGAUCAAGGGAGGCUGGGCACGGCAUGCUGGGAGAUAAGCACCACGCGCCCAAAAGAUCAACAGAACGGCGGCAGGAAAAUCAGAGCAGAGGCAGCUGGAUCUUCUUCUAUCAGCGGCGGUGACAGAUUUUUUUUUGAAGAACCCAGGGGCGGCGGCUGGGCGUUGGGGCUGGAAUUGGAGCAGCAGUCGGCGGCGGCAUACAAGAGAGCAGUGAGCGCGCAGAGGAUAAGGAAG